Molecule: ribosomal RNA, 207 nt
Filed under: uncultured bacterium
Lineage: Bacteria
Description: partial 16S ribosomal RNA
Rfam family: Bacterial small subunit ribosomal RNA
Source: RNAcentral
CAUGUAGGUGGCAUAGUAAGUCAGAAGUGAAAUUUUCGGGCUCAACCUGGAAGCAGCAUCUGAAACUACUAAGCUAGAGGGUAGACGGAGAAAAUGGAAUUUCACAUGUAGCGGUGGAAUGCGUAGAUAUGUGAAGGAACACCAGUGGCGAAAGCGGUUUUCUAGUUUAUACCUGACACUGAGAUGCGAAAGCAAGGGGAGCAAACA